Molecule: ribosomal RNA, 305 nt
Filed under: uncultured bacterium
Lineage: Bacteria
Description: partial 16S ribosomal RNA
Rfam family: Bacterial small subunit ribosomal RNA
Source: RNAcentral
ACAGCAGCAGCCACGGGAAUACAGAGGGUGCGAGCGUUAAUCGGAUUUACUGGGCGUAAAGCGUGCGUAGGCGGCUUCUUAAGUCGGAUGUGAAAUCCCUGAGCUUAACUUAGGAAUUGCAUUCGAUACUGGGAAGCUAGAGUAUGGAAGAGGAUGGUAGAAUUCCAGGUGUAGCGGUGAAAUGCGUAGAGAUCUGGAGGAAUACCGAUGGCGAAGGCAGCCAUCUGGCCUAAUACUGAAGCUGAGGUACGAAAGCAUGGGGAGCAAACAGGAUUAGAUACCCCGGUAGUCCCUGUCUCUUAUAC